This 373-nucleotide ribosomal RNA is filed under the name uncultured Acidovorax sp. Its description in RNAcentral is "bacterial SSU rRNA". It matches the Rfam family "Bacterial small subunit ribosomal RNA", at positions 1007 to 1382 of the family's 1533-position model. Lineage: Bacteria; Pseudomonadati; Pseudomonadota; Betaproteobacteria; Burkholderiales; Comamonadaceae. The record is from RNAcentral.
AUAGAAAGUUACUUCGGUACAUCGGUGACAGGUGGUGCAUGGUUGUCGUCAGCUCGUGUCGUGAGAUGUUGGGUUAAGUCCCGCAACGAGCGCAACCCUUGUCAUUAGUUGCUACAUUCAGUUGGGCACUCUAAUGAGACUGCCGGUGACAAACCGGAGGAAAGGUGGGGAUGACGUCAAGUCCUCAUGGCCCUUAUAGUGGGGCUACACACGUCAUACAAUGGAUGGUACAAAGGGUCGCCAACCCGCGAGGGGGAGCCAAUCCCAUAAAGCCAUUCGUAGUCCGGAUCGCAGUCUGCAACUCGACUGCGUGAAGUCGGAAUCGCUAGUAAUCGUGGAUCAGAAUGUCACGGUGAAUACGUUCCCGGGUCUU